GAUUGGGUCAAUUUAGAUUGGAUCCUUAUCCAACUUAAAACAAUUUUAAGUGGAGAAAUACUUCUCUGCACCCACCAAAAGUCACACAAAAAAUAAAUACCACCCCAUCUGAAAUUAGCAUGUGAAAUGGAGAGUCCUUCUUAAAGAAGGCUCUUAAUUAUAUGCUUUGCCUUAAAAGAUAAACCAAAUAUCCUAUGAUUUAAUGCCAAAAUUGAUUGGGUAUUUUAUGGCACAU
RNAcentral lists this long non-coding RNA (235 nucleotides) under Elaeis guineensis (African oil palm). RNAcentral describes it as "long non-coding RNA (EGUI_LNC067748)". The record is from RNAcentral. Lineage: Eukaryota; Viridiplantae; Streptophyta; Magnoliopsida; Arecales; Arecaceae.